GACGAACGCUGGCGGCGUGCUUAACACAUGCAAGUCGAACGGAAAGGCCCUGCUUUUGUGGGGUGCUCGAGUGGCGAACGGGUGAGUAACACGUGAGUAACCUGCCCUUGACUUUGGGAUAACUUCAGGAAACUGGGGCUAAUACCGGAUAGGAGCUCCUGCUGCAUGGUGGGGGUUGGAAAGUUUCGGCGGUUGGGGAUGGACUCGCGGCUUAUCAGCUUGUUGGUGGGGUAGUGGCUUACCAAGGCUUUGACGGGUAGCCGGCCUGAGAGGGUGACCGGCCACAUUGGGACUGAGAUACGGCCCAGAGUCCUACGGGAGGCAGCAGUGGGGAAUCUUGCACAAUGGGCGGAAGCCUGAUGCAGCAACGCAGCGUGCGGGAUGACGGCCUUCGGGUUGUAAACCGCUUUCGCCUGUGACGAAGCGUGAGUGACGGUAAUGGGUAAAGAAGCACCGGCUAACUACGUG
RNAcentral lists this ribosomal RNA (468 nucleotides) under uncultured bacterium. Its description in RNAcentral is "partial 16S ribosomal RNA". It matches the Rfam family "Bacterial small subunit ribosomal RNA", at positions 28 to 507 of the family's 1533-position model. The record is from RNAcentral.